GCGGUGCGCCUUAUGCAUGCAAGUCGAGCGAAGCUUUUCAGUAGUUUACUACAGAAAAUGACUGAGCGGCGAACGGGUGAGUAACGCGUGAGCAAUCUACCUUAGUUACUGGGAUAGCCCGAGGAAACUCGGAUUAAUACCGGAUACUCUUAUUUAAUCACAUGAUUUUUUAAGGAAAGGUCAGCCGAACUAAGAUGAGCUCGCGUUCUAUCAGCUAGUUGGUAGGGUAACGGCCUACCAAGGCUACGACGGAUAGCUGGUCUGAGAGGACGAUCAGCCACACUGGGACUGAGACACGGCCCAGACUCCUACGGGAGGCUGCAGCAGGGAAUAUUGUGCAAUGAACGAAAGUUUGACACAGCGACACCGCGUGUGGGAUGACGGAUCUAGGUUUGUAAACCACUUUCAGGAGGGAAGAAAAUGACGGUACCUCCACAAGAAGCCCCGGCCAACUACGUGCCAGCAGCCGCGGUAAUACGUAGGGGGCGAGCGUUGUCCGGAUUUAUUGGGCGUAAAGAGCUCGUAGGCGGUUCAACAAGUCGGUCGUGAAAGUUCAGGGCUCAACCCUGAAAUGUCGAUCGAUACUGUUGUGACUAGGAUACGGCAGAGGUGAGUGGAAUUCCGAGUGUAGCGGUGAAUGCGUAGAUAUUCGGAGGAACACCAAUUGCGAAGGCAGCUCACUGGGCCGCUAUCGACGCUGAGGAGC
This 706-nucleotide ribosomal RNA is filed under the name uncultured bacterium. RNAcentral describes it as "bacterial SSU rRNA". It matches the Rfam family "Bacterial small subunit ribosomal RNA", at positions 39 to 754 of the family's 1533-position model. The record is from RNAcentral.